This 614-nucleotide ribosomal RNA is filed under the name uncultured bacterium. RNAcentral describes it as "bacterial SSU rRNA". It matches the Rfam family "Bacterial small subunit ribosomal RNA", at positions 338 to 950 of the family's 1533-position model. The record is from RNAcentral.
CCUACGGGAGGCAGCAGUGGGGAAUUUUGGACAAUGGGCGAAAGCCUGAUCCAGCAAUGCCGCGUGAGUGAAGAAGGCCUUCGGGUUGUAAAGCUCUUUUGUCAGGGAAGAAACGGUGAGGGCUAAUAUCUCUUGCUAAUGACGGUACCUGAAGAAUAAGCACCGGCUAACUACGUGCCAGCAGCCGCGGUAAUACGUAGGGUGCAAGCGUUAAUCGGAAUUACUGGGCGUAAAGCGUGCGCAGGCGGUUUUGUAAGUCUGUCGUGAAAUCCCCGGGCUCAACCUGGGAAUUGCGAUGGAGACUGCAAGGCUAGAAUCUGGCAGAGGGGGGUAGAAUUCCACGUGUAGCAGUGAAAUGCGUAGAGAUGUGGAGGAACACCGAUGGCGAAGGCAGCCCCCUGGGUCAAGAUUGACGCUCAUGCACGAAAGCGUGGGGAGCAAACAGGAUUAGAUACCCUGGUAGUCCACGCCCUAAACGAUGUCUACUAGUUGUCGGGUUUUAAUUAACUUGGUAACGCAGCUAACGCGUGAAGUAGACCGCCUGGGGAGUACGGUCGCAAGAUUAAAACUAGAAGUAGUGACGUGNGACGUGCGACGAGACACAGGAGGUUAGG